ACCAUUAAUUUUUACUUUUUUUUUUUUUUUUAAUUAAAAUUAAAUAAAAUUUAAUUAAAAAAAAAUUCUCGUCUCCACUUCCCUUCCUACCCGGUCCACCGCUCCCCCCUCUCUCUCUCUCUCCGGGUCCACGCCUCCCCCUGGUGUAUCUCCGCCAUGUUGUCUCCUCGUCGUGGUCCGGGGUCCGUGGGCGUUCCUCUGGUGUCUCCAUGUAGGUGGUGUCCUGGCCGGGGCUCGAACCCGCACAGAUGUCUCCAGUGUAGUCCUUUGAAGCCGUCUCCCUAUCCGCUAGGCUAUGGCGUCUUCCGGGUUGGAGAAAAAAUUUUUUGAGGUGAUAAACAUUAGAACGAAAUAUUGAUGCGCACACGUAUUAUACGCGUAUAUACACAGUAGCGAUUAGUCUCUAGAUCAGGCGCUCUCUCAAGAGUAUUGUCUUGAAUCAAGACUACCAGUCAAUAGCCUACUCAGCCACAAGGAAACAUAAACUUGUUUGUCGGUUUUGUUUUAAUAAAGAAUUUAAUAAGUUUGUCGUUUUUUAAAAAUAAAAUUUGAAUGAGCUAA
Long non-coding RNA from Asterias rubens (European starfish), 561 nucleotides. RefSeq lists it as uncharacterized. NCBI's taxonomy places the organism in Eukaryota, Metazoa, Echinodermata, Asteroidea, Forcipulatida, Asteriidae. The record is from RefSeq and is a predicted model, not a curated record. The transcript has 2 exons.